This 253-nucleotide ribosomal RNA is filed under the name uncultured bacterium. Its description in RNAcentral is "partial 16S ribosomal RNA". It matches the Rfam family "Bacterial small subunit ribosomal RNA", at positions 524 to 776 of the family's 1533-position model. The record is from RNAcentral.
GACGAAGGUGGCAACCGUUGCUCGGAUUCACUGGGCAUAAAGCGCGCGUAGGUGGCCAGGUAGGUCAUUGGUGAAAUCCAACGGCAUAACCGUUGAACUGCCGGUGAUACCGCCUGGCUUGAGGACGGGAGGGGAGAGUGGAACUCUUGGUGUAGCGGUGAAAUGCGUAGAUAUCAAGAGGAACGCCGGUGGCGAAAGCGACUCUCUGGACCGUUCCUGACACUGAGGCGCGAAAGCUAGGGGAGCAAACAGG